RNAcentral lists this long non-coding RNA (258 nucleotides) under Mus musculus (house mouse). Its description in RNAcentral is "long non-coding RNA chr11:29354198-29354456". The record is from RNAcentral. Lineage: Eukaryota; Metazoa; Chordata; Mammalia; Rodentia; Muridae.
ACCAAGAGGGGCAGGCUCCUUCGGAAAUAUGAAACAGCUUAUAGUGCCUCCCUCUGAAAAAUGGUGAAAAGAAUUGAAAUGAGCCAGCAGGUCACAUACACUUGCUCCUUCUGUGGCAAGACCAAGAUCAAGAGAUGAGCUGUUAGCAUCUGGCACUGUGAUUCCUACAUGAAAAUAGUGACUGGCAAGUCCUGAACCUACACUGAGGCAGCCACAGUCAAGUCUUCCACCAGAAGACUAAAGAACCUGAAAGACCAG